This 72-nucleotide transfer RNA is filed under the name Planctomycetota bacterium. Its description in RNAcentral is "Planctomycetes bacterium tRNA-Val". It matches the Rfam family "tRNA". From Rfam's summary of the family: Transfer RNA (tRNA) molecules are approximately 80 nucleotides in length. Lineage: Bacteria; Pseudomonadati; Planctomycetota. The record is from RNAcentral.
AGUCCCGUGGUCCAAUGGCGACGACACCUGUCUUACAAACAGGAAACGAUGGUUCGACUCCAUCCGGGACUA